This is an RNA transcript of Pseudophryne corroboree (corroboree frog), 1314 nucleotides long. RefSeq lists it as uncharacterized. The record is from RefSeq and is a predicted model, not a curated record. The transcript has 8 exons. Lineage: Eukaryota; Metazoa; Chordata; Amphibia; Anura; Myobatrachidae.
CUGUUAACAGGUAUUGCAAAGUGUUUGCUUAUUCUUUUGCAGUCAGCAAGAGAACAUGUCAGCUGUGAAAGUGAGGGAUCUGCCUGAAAAAAUGGUGCACAGUGAACAAAGAGAACCUGCAUAUACCCAUAGUGAGGAUAAUAUGGACAUUUCACCAGAAAAGAGUAGUUGUCUGUUUCCUAUAAAGGAAAUCACACCAUACACGACCAUUCUAGACCUUGUGGAUGCUUCCAGAAUUCCUGAGUUGAAACGUAAUUUACUGGACUUGUUAGAGAAAUUUGAUAUAAAUGAUCUCCCAUGCAUUACUGAAGAUAACUUGGAGGAGACUGCUGGUCUUAACUUUCAGAUAACUUCUAUCCAAGAUCAGACAGAUAGAACAUUUAUCUUGAAACGUGACACACUCUGGGCAAAGCACCUACUACUGCAUGAAGAGAAAGAACUAUUUACUAUUAAAUUACACAGGGUACACAAGGUACCGAAGAAUGCAGUCACUGUGCAAGUGCUGGACCAGAACCUGUACCUGUCAUCCAUACCGGACCCAUCCGGAUAUGUGCAACUGUUGUCCCCAGGAGAGAAGAUUCCUGACUUCAAUGAUCCUGAAACAAGUAAAUUCUUUUUCUACCUUGAGAAUACUGACGAGGACCUAUACUCCUUUGAGUCAUCCACAAACUCAAACUGCUUCAUUAGCACUCCGGCAGAAAUGAAUGAUCGUGUAACCAUACAGCCCAUAUCAAAGAAAGACAUAUAUCAUAUGGACUUUAAAGUCGAUCAACAGAUCAUUAUCCCGACCAGCCGGUUAACAUUAAGGCUGUCUUUGACACAAAAGGCAAACAUAACUGAUCUGUGGAUAAAAGUAAUCCGCCACAAUGUCUUCCAUGAAAAAUCAUUAGUAGCGGAAGAAGAUUUUGCUACGCCUGUAAAUGCCUUGACUUCAACACCAGAGUCUCCAAGCACAUAGCCUAGAAAAGGUAUCCCUGCAAAAGGAAUGAAACCACAAUUAUAAUGAACGAUAGCGGAAUGGAAAACAAUGGAUAACAGUCUCCAGCCAACAAGUACACAUGGAAGAUUCACCAGAUUCUCACCACAGAGACCUCACUCAUCACUGCACAGCAUGUAAUAUGGAAACAAACACAGUGGUAGCUGCUCAAUCACUCUGGAGAUACUUCAGGUGCUAGAAAAGGGGAGGGGUCACAGCAAACAGAGAGGGGGGGGGGUGCUUUUCCCACCCUGGUAUCCCCCCAGCACACUGACUAAUACCCGCAACAAUACCUGAACCUAUCUGGCCAUAGAAUUUCAGAGAUAUUUGUUACAUGA